UGCAGUGCUUUACCCAGUUUGGUGUCACUUUCGUGAAAGUCAAGUGCAUGACACCACACUGGGUAGUGUAAUGCUCA
RNAcentral lists this microRNA precursor (77 nucleotides) under Jaculus jaculus (lesser Egyptian jerboa). Its description in RNAcentral is "miRNA (ENSJJAG00000001313.1)". Lineage: Eukaryota; Metazoa; Chordata; Mammalia; Rodentia; Dipodidae. The record is from RNAcentral.